ACAUGUAUUUAAGCCUUGUGUGUUGUAUUGCUAGCUGCUAGUCAUUGCACGAGACUCCAAUAGUCUAUGUGAGAAUACGACCCUCUUGUUGUGUAUUCGCCUCAUUGCUACUGCCAGCAUUUCCCCUGCCACAAGCAAUAAACGAACUGGCCAGAACAUGCCCAGCGGGAAAAACUUGGCGCGCCGGUCUGCCUCCCAGCAUAUUCAGCCUACCGACCAAGUGGGCUCAUUCUUUUUCUCUUCUUCUUUCUUGUCACCUGCGCCACCCAUGUGUUAUGAUUAUCCUCCACAGCCAACCUGUUCACCUGUUCAUAUAUAUGGCUUAUUAGUCUCUGAUUUUUCUGAUUUUGAGAAGGACCUUGACUUGUAUGACCACCUGCCCGAUUGCGACUCGGAAAUAAAUGUUGCUUUUUCCCUUUCUAUCUUUAGUCCAAGUCAAUUUGUGUCACUUCUUCACAUUUCUAGCCCCCCAUGUGCCCAAGCCCAAGUCUUCUUCCUACAACCUUUUCUGGGGCACCCGCCUGGCCAUUCAUCUGGGACACCCAUGUAGUGGCCAGCGGAAGCGUCCAAGUAGAGCUCAGCUUUAUGCCUCCUGCUUCACUCCGUGCAAGCCACACCAAGCAAAAUCCGCAAUGCCCCACAGUCACCUUUUGCUCAGGUCUCGGUGGAGCCUGCCCCCCAGCCACCUGUCGCCCACAUCUCGGUGGCACUCAAGCCCAAGCCACCUCCUGCCCAUGCCUUGGUGGCGCUCGACCACGAGUCGCUUCUCGCCUCGACGGUGCUCCAACCUGAGCCACCUCUUGCCCACGCCUUGGCGGUGCUUCUCAACCAUGCCUCGGCGGUGCUCAACUAGCAGGAGCCACUGCCUCUUGACCAUGACUCGGCAGUCGGCAACCACCAGCACCCGCCACGUGCUCCUGUUUUGGUUCCUGCUUUGCCUCAGCUGUGCUGUGCUUUGCUACUCAGUGUGUCAGUAGACACAGAGAAUGAUAUUUAUGUAUACACAUUUAUUAUAAUUAUUUUAAAAUUUG
Long non-coding RNA from Syngnathoides biaculeatus (alligator pipefish), 1031 nucleotides. RefSeq lists it as uncharacterized. The transcript is spliced from 3 exons. NCBI's taxonomy places the organism in Eukaryota, Metazoa, Chordata, Actinopteri, Syngnathiformes, Syngnathidae. The record is from RefSeq and is a predicted model, not a curated record.